ACUCCUACGGGAGGCAGCAGUAGGGAAUUUUCGGCAAUGGGGGAAACCCUGACCGAGCAACGCCGCGUGAAGGAAGAAGGUUUUCGGAUUGUAAACUUCUGUUAUAAAGGAAGAACGGCGGCUACUCGAAAUGGAGCCGAGGACGGACUU
Molecule: ribosomal RNA, 150 nt
Filed under: uncultured Clostridium sp.
Lineage: Bacteria; Bacillati; Bacillota; Clostridia; Eubacteriales; Clostridiaceae
Description: partial 16S ribosomal RNA
Rfam family: Bacterial small subunit ribosomal RNA
Source: RNAcentral